Molecule: transfer RNA, 77 nt
Filed under: Oceanospirillum multiglobuliferum
Lineage: Bacteria; Pseudomonadati; Pseudomonadota; Gammaproteobacteria; Oceanospirillales; Oceanospirillaceae
Description: tRNA_Met_CAT
Rfam family: tRNA
About the family: Transfer RNA (tRNA) molecules are approximately 80 nucleotides in length. Their secondary structure includes four short double-helical elements and three loops (D, anti-codon, and T loops). Further hydrogen bonds mediate the characteristic L-shaped molecular structure. tRNAs have two regions of fundamental functional importance: the anti-codon, which is responsible for specific mRNA codon recognition, and the 3' end, to which the tRNAs corresponding amino acid is attached (by aminoacyl-tRNA synthetases). tRNAs cope with the degeneracy of the genetic code in two manners: having more than one tRNA (with a specific anti-codon) for a particular amino acid; and 'wobble' base-pairing, i.e. permitting non-standard base-pairing at the 3rd anti-codon position.
Source: RNAcentral
UGCGGGAUGGAGCAGCCUGGUAGCUCGUCGGGCUCAUAACCCGAAGGUCGUCGGUUCAAAUCCGGCUCCCGCUUCCA